Crotalus tigris (Tiger rattlesnake) is the source of this 451-nucleotide long non-coding RNA. RefSeq lists it as uncharacterized. The transcript is spliced from 3 exons. NCBI's taxonomy places the organism in Eukaryota, Metazoa, Chordata, Lepidosauria, Squamata, Viperidae. The record is from RefSeq and is a predicted model, not a curated record.
UCCAAGCUCUGUGAGCUGGCACACAUGUAAUGUUGUAGGAAGCAACCUGUAUGAACCAUUGCCUUGAAAUCAAACAGCAUGCCAGCGUGAGCUGUGACCCAAAAAAAUAUGACUUUUUCUUUCAACAGUUGCCAUUUAAACCAAAUCAUUGGGUGGCAAAAGUGGCCAACUGGUUCAGUCUUGAGAGAAAUGAAAAAUGAAGAGUGCCUCUGAGCAUCUGCAAAUAACUGGACCCUCAUCGGCAGUCUGAGGUACAAACUCUAGCAAUUCCUAAGAAACACAGCCCAAAGUUUUCAUUGACAGAUGGACAAAAAGAAGAAAGAGUUUGAAAAUUGCACCAGGAGAAACAGAAGGCAUCACUUACGCUCCAGAGAGAACCCUGAUGGAGGAUACUUCCUUGCUGCUCCAUCCCAUGGCUUGCAACGAUGGAUAGUCAUCAGUCAGCUCAAAC